Molecule: ribosomal RNA, 501 nt
Filed under: Micrococcus luteus
Lineage: Bacteria; Bacillati; Actinomycetota; Actinomycetes; Micrococcales; Micrococcaceae
Description: bacterial SSU rRNA
Rfam family: Bacterial small subunit ribosomal RNA
Source: RNAcentral
AUUAAUUUGAUGCAGCGAGGACAACAUUAUCAAGGCGUCACAUGUUCUAGAUAACCGUAGAGAUACGGUUUCCCGCCUUGGGCGGGUUCACAGGUGGUGCAUGGUUGUUGUCAGCUCGUGUCGUGAGAUCAUGGGGUAAGUCCCGCAACGAGCGCAACCCUCGUUCCAUGUUGCCAGCAGGUGGUGGUGGGGAAUCAUGGGAGACUGCCGGGGUCAAAUCGGAGGAAGGGGAGGAGGAGGUCAAAUCAUCACGCCCCCUAUGUCUUGGGCUUCACGCAUGCUACAAUGGCCGGUACAAUGGGUUGAGAUACUUUGAGGUGGAGAAAUCCCAAAAAGCCGGUCUCAGUUUGGAUUGGGGUAGGCAACUCGACCCCUCGAAGUAGGAGUCGUUAGUAAUAACAGAUCAGGAAGAGGGCGGUGAAGAUUUCCCGGGCUUUUACACACCCCCCAUAAUGUCACGAAAGUCGGUAACACCAAAAAAACGGUACAGUUACCUCUUUG